AGAGGCUGCAGUGAGCCAGGAUCAUGCCGCUGCACUCUAGCCUGGGAGACAGAGCUAGUCUCUGUUAAAUAAAAAAGAAAUAAAAUAUUUUUCCUUCACUUCUUGUUCUGCAUCCUCUAUCUCUGUUCUUCCUGUCCCAGUUGUUUCCUUCCCUUUUUCCCCUUAUCUUCCUCCAAUGACUCUUUGCAGAGGAUGCUGCAUCCCACUGGUGCCAGUGCCAAACCCUACUGAUAUUGGCAGAGCAGUAUUUUUCCCAGUGACCUUGGUUUUAUUAUUUUUAAUUGCCUGGGUUCACAUCAGUGUUGUAAUACAGUCAGUUUUACAGUCCACGGAAAUGAUAGCGGUGCCUUGAGAGGCGUAUGGCUGAGGGGUCAUGAUGCAGAGUCCCAGCUCUACUGCAUAGAGCCUCACCCACUUCCCUGCCUCCACAUCCUCACCAUGGAAAUAGGAGCACUGUUGGUACCCACCUCGUGAGGGCGGUUCUAGAAUUAUUCAAACACAUCAUCUAAGAUGCUCUGUACAGACCCUGGUAUAUUGUAACCACUCAAUAAUGUCAGUUCCUCUUGAAAAGCAUCAUCCAGGCCCUGUUUGCACAGAGUUAAUUGCUUCUAUACUUUUUUGUUUGUUUGUUUUUUGAGACAGAGUCAUGCUCUGUUGCCCAUGCUGGAGUGUAGUGGCAUGAUCUCUGUUCACUGCAACCUCUGCCUUCUGGGUUCAAACAAUUCUCCCACCUCAGCCUCCUGAGUAGCUGGGGUUACAGGUGCGUGCCACCAUGCCUGGCUAAUUUUUUAUAUUUUUAGUAGUGACAGGGUUUCACCAUGUUGGCCAGGCUGGUCUCGAACCCCUGGCCUCAAGUGAUCCUCCCACCUGGGCCUCCCAAAGUGCUGGGAUUACAGGCAUGAGCUGCUGGGCCCAGCUGCUUCUGGUACAUUUCUUAAAUGUCCUGUGAAAGUUCAUCUGGAAUGGGAUUUGCUGGGAAUUCAUUUUAUAGACAAGGGAAGGAUGCAGUCUUGUCAGAUAUGGUGACUUAAAGGUCAUCUUAAAGGACUUAGAACUCAGCUGAGUGUGGUGGUGGAUGCUUGUAGUCUUAGCUGCUGGGGACACUGAUGUGAGAGGUUCGCUUGGGCCUGGGAGUUUGAGGCUGUGAUGAGCUAUGACUGGGCCACUGCACUCCAGCCUGGGCAACAGAGCAAGACCCUGUGUCAAAGUAAAAAAGACCUAUAGAAGCAUUAGUGCUUGGGGUAACUAUCAGCAUGUGCUGGCAGAGGUCUCGUGCCUUUACCUUGCUGUUGAGUCCCUCCAGAUCACUGGCCUUCCCGUGCCCUUUCUCUUCUCUGGGCUGCUAAUGCCUUCCUUCCCCAUAUUAGUAAUAUUACUGAUAAACAAAUUGGUACAUUCUCCGAUCUCACUUCAGAAGCUGUUUCUGUGCAUUGAAGAUGUACAUACACUCUUAAUUCAAAAGAGAUAGCAUUUAUGUGCUGCCACAUUAAACAGUUUGCAACAGUAUUACUACUGAGUUUGUGUUGCCUCUGUGCAACCCUCAUGGUGCCCAGGAACAAAUGAAACCACCAGAGACCUGGAGCCUCAGGUUCAUUCAGUGGUGCCCCAGGGAAGGGGAUUGGGGGGCUUAUUCCCAGGAGGCCUCUGAAAUGUAAGAGCUAUUAACAAGGAGUUAUAAAUCAUCUUUGGUAGCUACAGGCCCAGGCUGUGGGUAGAGCCCUAGAUGGGAGAAACAAAUGGUAAGAUCGGUAGAGUAUUGCUCAUAUAAAUAUGUAAGCUGUUUUACUGGCACACUGUAUCUGGUGAUAUUAACAUGAUAAGCUAUUGGUAGGAUAGUUUAUCAGAUCGUAGAAAUAUAUUAUAGCCUAUUUCCUGUUAUAUACUGAAAAGCUACUAAUGGAAUAGUAGACAAUGGUAUCAGUAAUAGCUUAAAACAGUCUUCACUGGCACUUACCUGAACUCAGGAAUGACAGGUUUCUUUCAUGCACGAGGUACUGGAUACAUUAAACAUGCACACACACAGAUGUGGCAUUGCAUUCUAGUCAUAUCCUAAAGAAAAACGAUGGUGCAGUAUGUUAUUUACAGAGCUAUACUCUGUGUGAGUGACUGUGUGUGUAUGUGUGUGGUGGAGGUCAGGGAUGACUUGUUUGUAAUACACCUUAAGGAAGUCUGUCCGAAUUUGCCCUUCAAAUACUAAAUAAAUUCACCUCUUACCUCAAA
Long non-coding RNA from Sapajus apella (tufted capuchin), 2220 nucleotides. RefSeq lists it as uncharacterized. The transcript has 2 exons. The record is from RefSeq and is a predicted model, not a curated record. Lineage: Eukaryota; Metazoa; Chordata; Mammalia; Primates; Cebidae.